GAAAAAUUAGUUAAAUAAUAAUAUUAAUUUGUCAAAUUAAAGUUACUUAAGUAUUUUUCG
This 60-nucleotide transfer RNA is filed under the name Metacrangonyx dominicanus. RNAcentral's name for it is "transfer RNA Aspartic acid". Lineage: Eukaryota; Metazoa; Arthropoda; Malacostraca; Amphipoda; Metacrangonyctidae. The record is from RNAcentral.